UAUAUUUUACCAACCCAUUUGAAUGGUGGGACAAAAGGAAAAGUAAGAAAAAUCCAUGGCACCCAGAUUUUAAGCGCAAAGAUACUGGUGAAGCUCUCUGGUUGAGUCCCAAUGAUCCUCCUUGGAUCAAAAAGCAACUUGAACUGCUUGAUUCGAAAUUGGCCGAAGGCCUAGGCGAUCAUGUAAAUUCUCGUCAUCGUGUAUCUGAAUGGGUGUAUGAUGAGUAGGUUAAAUCUGCAAGACUUGAAGAAGAGCGGGAGCAGGUAGUACUAGUGGAGGUUCACUACAGCACAGCUACAAACCUAUAGCAUCAGCCAAACGUUAAGAAGUAAUAGUUUUAACCUUAGCCAUCAAAUGAAGGACAGUGAAGGGGAUUAAGGUAAUUGUACAGCUAGAGCAAUGUGUAUGACUAGUUAUGUGGUAAUUCUGAUAAUGUGCAGCACUUAUGAUUACUAGUUUCCUUUGGUUGAAAUGUAUUCUUGUGGUAAGUGUUGUAUUAAGUUUAUUUCAAUAGACCAAAACUUCUGUUAAGACAAGUACCAGGUACAGAUGAAAUCUUAAUGCACUUUUGCAUCAUUCCUUCAAUAAAUAAAUAAAUCUUGAACUAUGCUAAACGAUAUUGCAGAAAUGAAAAGACACAUGCAUAUUGAGAUCACUGGCAGUUUUGAAAACAUGAUAGUUGCACCAAACCCAUAACAGUUUGUGAGGAACACCCAUAGAAGUAUGUCCAAAUAAAUGCACGGAUUAAUGCUUAACUGGGUGGUGAUUGACAUGUAGCAACUUAAAGCAAACAAAUUUCAAGAAAAAUCUGUACGGAAAACUCAAAAGCAGCAUAAAGUACCCUAAGAAUCACAAUAUGAUGUAACGUCAUUCUUUAUUUGCUAGUCAAGCAAGAAGAUUGCAACACAGUUGGGAGCCUCAGUGCAUGAGAGCUCUGUUUUCAUGCUAAGCCCAGUUGAGAUGAAGCAGAAACUUAAGUGUCGCCAUCUUCUAAAGACCUCAAAUUCAAAAAUUCAAGCCACUCCUGCCCCCCAUUACAGUAAUGUGCCCAUCAAUGUUCAGAUAAAGAUAACAAAGACCAAAUGCUGGAGGAUUCGAGGAUGAAAAGAACUUGCAUACCUUCUGGCGCAGUAGGUCAUCUGCAUCGUAGACAACGUGUUCCAGCCGACUUAUCCAGUUCUUCACGGCAGGGCUGCUCUCCUGCUUCUCCUCCGGACGGCGUGUAGGUGGUGAGAGUCUCUUGAAGCUUCUCCAGCUCCUUUUUCAGCCCGAAAAGCCCUUGCCCAGCAAGCGACA
Molecule: long non-coding RNA, 1296 nt
Filed under: Theobroma cacao (cacao)
Lineage: Eukaryota; Viridiplantae; Streptophyta; Magnoliopsida; Malvales; Malvaceae
Description: long non-coding RNA (TCAC_LNC004204)
Source: RNAcentral